AUUGAACGCUGGCGGCAGGCCUAACACAUGCAAGUCGAGCGGAUGAAGGGAGCUUGCUCCUGGAUUCAGCGGCGGACGGGUGAGUAAUGCCUAGGAAUCUGCCUGGUAGUGGGGGAUAACGUCCGGAAACGGGCGCUAAUACCGCAUACGUCCUGAGGGAGAAAGUGGGGGAUCUUCGGACCUCACGCUAUCAGAUGAGCCUAGGUCGGAUUAGCUAGUUGGUGGGGUAAAGGCCUACCAAGGCGACGAUCCGUAACUGGUCUGAGAGGACGAUCAGUCACACUGGAACUGAGACACGGUCCAGACUCCUACGGGAGGCAGCAGUGGGGAAUAUUGGACAAUGGGCGAAAGCCUGAUCCAGCCAUGCCGCGUGUGUGAAGAGGGUCUUCGGAUUGUAAAGCACUUUAAGUUGGGAGGAAGGGCAGUAAGUUAAUACCUUGCUGUUUUGACGUUACCAACAGAAUAAGCACCGGCUAACUUCGUG
This 484-nucleotide ribosomal RNA is filed under the name uncultured bacterium. RNAcentral describes it as "partial 16S ribosomal RNA". It matches the Rfam family "Bacterial small subunit ribosomal RNA", at positions 30 to 507 of the family's 1533-position model. The record is from RNAcentral.